This 442-nucleotide ribosomal RNA is filed under the name uncultured bacterium. Its description in RNAcentral is "bacterial SSU rRNA". It matches the Rfam family "Bacterial small subunit ribosomal RNA", at positions 958 to 1400 of the family's 1533-position model. The record is from RNAcentral.
AACGCGAAGAACCUUACCUACCCUUGACAUCCCUGGAAUCUGCUAGAGAUAGCGGAGUGCCGCAAGGAACCAGGAGACAGGUGCUGCAUGGCUGUCGUCAGCUCGUGUUGUGAGAUGUUGGGUUAAGUCCCGUAACGAGCGCAACCCUUAUCCUUAGUUGCCAACACGUAAUGGUGGGGACUCUAAGGAGACUGCUGGUGAAGAACCGGAGGAAGGCGGGGACGAGGUCAAGUCAUCAUGGCCUUUAUGGGUAGGGCUACACACGUGCUACAAUGGUCAGUACAGAGGGCAGCCAACCCGCGAGGGGGAGCCAAUCCCGAAAAGCUGAUCGUAGUCCGGAUUGAAGUCUGCAACUCGACUUCAUGAAGUCGGAAUCGCUAGUAAUCGCGAAUCAGAAUGUCGCGGUGAAUACGUUCCCGGGCCUUGUACACACCGUAGAGAC